UGGCGAACGGGUGCGUAACACGUGGGCAAUCUGCCCCUCGCAGGGGGACAACUGGAGGAAACUCCAGCUAAUACCCCGUAAGCUUUCAGGGUCGCAUGGCCUUGUAAGGAAAGGUAGCUUCGGCCAUCCGGCGAGGGAUGAGCCCGCGGUACAUUAGCUAGUUGGUGGGGUAACGGCCUACCAAGGCGACGAUGUAUAGCUGGUCUGAGAGGAUGAUCAGCCACACUGGGACUGAGACACGGCCCAGACUCCUACGGGAGGCAGCAGUCGGGAAUCUUGCACAAUGGGCGAAAGCCUGAUGCAGCAACACCGUGUGAGCGAGGAAGGCCUUCGGGUCGUAAAGCUCUGUUGUUGGGGAAGAAGGGCGAAGGGUUAAUAGCCCCUAGCUUGACGGUACCCUUCGAGGAAGCCCCGGCUAACUACGUGCCAGCAGCCGCGGUAAUACGUAGGGGGCGAGCGUUGUCCGGAAUUAUUGGGCGUAAAGAGCGUGUAGGCGGUUCGGUAAGUCCGUCGUGAAAACCUGGGGCUCAACCCCGGGCGUGCG
RNAcentral lists this ribosomal RNA (544 nucleotides) under uncultured Rubrobacter sp. RNAcentral's name for it is "bacterial SSU rRNA". It matches the Rfam family "Bacterial small subunit ribosomal RNA", at positions 96 to 625 of the family's 1533-position model. Lineage: Bacteria; Bacillati; Actinomycetota; Rubrobacteria; Rubrobacterales; Rubrobacteraceae. The record is from RNAcentral.